GCUGUCAGUCCCCGGGUGGGUCUGCAGCGAUCAGCCUAGACCACAAGAUGGAGGACAGCACGGUGCCAUGAAAUGCAGCCAACAGGGUUAGUCCUGAGAGGGGCUGAGCACUUGCAGCUCUCACUGGUUUCAGAGGGAGAUGCAGGAGCUCAGCACUGCUCAGAAUUGGCCCAUUGUGAUGGAAGUGGAACAUUCCACCGUAGGGAUGGUAACCUAGACAAACAGAGGUGGGGACAGGCAGGGGGAACUAGGGAUGUAAGUUUUCAGGGGUGAGGGCUGCAUAAAUCCCACUCCAUCCAAACCACAGGGAAAGGAGCGGUUCAUGACCCAUCAAUUCUACCAAGAGGAGGAGAGUUACAGAUGCUCAGGAUUUGAGUACAAAGGAAUAGGAAUGGAGCUGAACAGAUCCAACACCUGAAAGGACGAUUGGAUCUUGUAAGGGACGAAACCAUGAAAAAGACCCUUCAUUCAGUAAAGCAGCAGAAUUGGCUCUGAGGAGAGGUGAAAGAAAGGCAGUGCUUACCAGUCAAGGGAGAAAGAUUCCAAGACAUGGCUGAAUUUAAGAAUGCAGUCAGGUAGGAAACGAUAAGUGCAGAUGCAAGAAAAGCAUCUUAUGACUCCAGUUUGGGAAAAAGCCACUUCUACAUCAUUUAUUAAACAAUGUAGCUGGUUGCACCUCUGAAAAUCACAGCCAUGCAAUGGAAAAUCACUGACAAGGAGGUGAGCAGAGAAGAGCAUGUGGAAGGCAAAUGAAGCACAUUUUGACUGAUAGCUCUGCAUAGCUAGUAAAACAAAUAAAAAUUAUCUGAAACAUUGAUGUUUGCAGGUGAUCAU
Molecule: long non-coding RNA, 834 nt
Organism: Mauremys reevesii (Reeves's turtle)
Lineage: Eukaryota; Metazoa; Chordata; Testudines; Geoemydidae
Exons: 3
Source: RefSeq, a predicted model, not a curated record